Triticum aestivum (bread wheat) is the source of this 1176-nucleotide long non-coding RNA. RefSeq lists it as uncharacterized. Lineage: Eukaryota; Viridiplantae; Streptophyta; Magnoliopsida; Poales; Poaceae. The record is from RefSeq and is a predicted model, not a curated record. The transcript has 5 exons.
UCCCUAUGGAUCUCGAAGCGCCGGUGCCCCCACCCCACUCCCUCCCACGCUGUCCACCAGCGUUUCCCUCGAGCGCCGCCUCUCCUUCUCCCCAACCCUGGCAGUAACCUCGUUUCCCUCAACAGCCAGAUCCCGCUCACGCUCACAUCGUGCUCCUUAUCGUCCUCCUCGACCUGCUCCUCCGUGCCGCCGUCCACCACGCCUCCGCCCACAGCCUCCUCGACCAGGGCAGGGGCUUCCACUUCCACUUCCGCACACAACAGCAACUCCUUCUCCUCUUCCCUACAGCUUCCGCCUCCGAUCGAUCACUCUGGAGCACCACCACCCGCCGCCACUGCCGCGCAGAUCGGAGCAGAGCAACAAUGCAGGUGGUGAAGAGCCUCCGGAAGUCAAAGCCGACACCGCAGCAGCAGCUGCGUAAGUGGUAGCGCCGCCACCGCAACGAGGGCCGCAACAUCGAGCGCCAGAUCUAAGACGUGCAGAAGGAGGAGAAGAAGGUUGAGAAGACCAUCCGGGACGCCGCCAAGGCGCUGGCCAAGGAGCUUGUGCAGUCCAGGAAGGCGGUCAACCACCUCUACAAGAACAAGGCCCAGAUCAACUCCAUCUCCAUGCACCUCGGCAAGAUCGAUGCUGCGAUCGACGACCUGAACAGCAAGACCGACAUGAAGAUCCUGCUGAAGUGGAUGUGGGGCAGGAGGAUCAUCAAGCUCUCGAGCGUGCAGCGAGGAGCUGCUCUUCGCCUCGCCUCGCACAAGCGAUGUCAUCAGGUACAGCGCUGCUGCUGGUUCCUUGAGGCCAAGUCGAGUUGAGGUAGGGGAUAGGAAGGCUGAGCCGCUCGGGUGCUGAUCAUGUACAGUGGCGCUCUUUUCAGCAUGGACCCGACCAAACCAAUGAUGCAAGGCUUCUCCUGCUACUGCAUGUCUUCAUCAACUUAGUUCUUCCAUAGGGAGAGAUUUAAAUCUUUCACUUGUUCAAUGUGUAAUCUACAGAUUACUUCUUCCAUUAAUCACCUAGUGCUCCUGUUAGUGAGAUUCAUCUAGUAUUUUUUUUGCAAAGCAUGCAAUGGUUUGGAGUAGUUGAUCAUGGCCAGAUGGAACCUUUAUGUUGUUACCAUGUAUAUAUGUAGUACUACAAUAGCCAUAAGCAAUCCAUUUUAUUAAAUGCAUUUUGCUAGCU